This 465-nucleotide ribosomal RNA is filed under the name Vreelandella stevensii. RNAcentral's name for it is "partial 16S ribosomal RNA". It matches the Rfam family "Bacterial small subunit ribosomal RNA", at positions 338 to 795 of the family's 1533-position model. Lineage: Bacteria; Pseudomonadati; Pseudomonadota; Gammaproteobacteria; Oceanospirillales; Halomonadaceae. The record is from RNAcentral.
CCUACGGGAGGCUGCAGUGGGGAAUAUUGGACAAUGGGGGCAACCCUGAUCCAGCCAUGCCGCGUGUGUGAAGAAGGCCCUCGGGUUGUAAAGCACUUUCAGUGAGGAAGAACGCCUGGUGGUUAAUACCCAUCAGGAAAGACAUCACUCACAGAAGAAGCACCGGCUAACUCCGUGCCAGCAGCCGCGGUAAUACGGAGGGUGCGAGCGUUAAUCGGAAUUACUGGGCGUAAAGCGCGCGUAGGUGGCUUGAUAAGCCGGUUGUGAAAGCCCCGGGCUCAACCUGGGAACGGCAUCCGGAACUGUCAAGCUAGAGUGCAGGAGAGGAAGGUAGAAUUCCCGGUGUAGCGGUGAAAUGCGUAGAGAUCGGGAGGAAUACCAGUGGCGAAGGCGGCCUUCUGGACUGACACUGCCACUGAGGUGCGAAAGCGUGGGUAGCAAACAGGAUUAGAUAUCCCAGUAGUC